CAGAUAGCAUGCCAUGUCUAAGUAUAAGCAAUUAUACCGUGAAACUGCGAAUGGCUCAUUAAAUCAGUUAUCGUUUAUUUGAUAGUACCUUACUACUUGGAUAACCGUGGUAAUUCUAGAGCUAAUACAUGCUAAAAACCCCGACUUCGGAAGGGGUGUAUUUAUUAGAUAAAAAACCAACGCCCUUCGGGGCUGCUUGGUGAUUCAUGAUAACUUUUCAGAUCGCAUGGCCUUGCGCCGGCGACGGUUCAUUCAAAUUUCUGCCCUAUCAACUUUCGAUGGUAAGGUAUUGGCUUACCAUGGUUUCAACGGGUAACGGGGAAUUAGGGUUCGAUUCCGGAGAGGGAGCCUGAGAAACGGCUACCACAUCCAAGGAAGGCAGCAGGCGCGCAAAUUACCCAAUCCCGACACGGGGAGGUAGUGACAAUAAAUACUGAUACAGGGCUCUUUUGGGUCUUGUAAUUGGAAUGAGUACAAUUUAAACCUCUUAACGAGGAACAAUUGGAGGGCAAGUCUGGUGCCAGCAGCCGCGGUAAUUCCAGCUCCAAUAGCGUAUAUUAAAGUUGUUGCAGUUAAAAAGCUCGUAGUUGAACCUUGGGCCUGGCUGGCGGGUCCGCCUCACCGCGUGUACUUGUCCGGCCGGGCCUUUCCUUCUGGAGAACCUCAUGCCCUUCACUGGGUGUGUUGGGGAACCAGGACUUUUACUUUGAAAAAAUUAGAGUGUUCAAAGCAGGCCUUUGCUCGAAUACGUUAGCAUGGAAUAAUAGAAUAGGACGUGCGGUCCUAUUUUGUUGGUUUCUAGGACCGCCGUAAUGAUUAAUAGGGACAGUCGGGGGCAUCAGUAUUCAAUUGUCAGAGGUGAAAUUCUUGGAUUUAUUGAAGACUAACUACUGCGAAAGCAUUUGCCAAGGAUGUUUUCAUUAAUCAGUGAACGAAAGUUAGGGGAUCGAAGACGAUCAGAUACCGUCGUAGUCUUAACCGUAAACUAUGCCGACUAGGGAUCGGGCGAUGUUUCUAUCUUGACUCGCUCGGCACCUUACGAGAAAUCAAAGUUUUGGUCUGGGG
RNAcentral lists this ribosomal RNA (1065 nucleotides) under Cyclothyriella rubronotata. RNAcentral's name for it is "SSU rRNA". It matches the Rfam family "Eukaryotic small subunit ribosomal RNA", at positions 40 to 1119 of the family's 1831-position model. Lineage: Eukaryota; Fungi; Ascomycota; Dothideomycetes; Pleosporales; Cyclothyriellaceae. The record is from RNAcentral.